This 2922-nucleotide ribosomal RNA is filed under the name Klebsiella pneumoniae. RNAcentral's name for it is "bacterial LSU rRNA". It matches the Rfam family "Bacterial large subunit ribosomal RNA". The record is from RNAcentral. Lineage: Bacteria; Pseudomonadati; Pseudomonadota; Gammaproteobacteria; Enterobacterales; Enterobacteriaceae.
GGGUUGUGAGGUUAAGCGACUAAGCGUACACGGUGGAUGCCCUGGCAGUCAGAGGCGAUGAAGGACGUGCUAAUCUGCGAAAAGCGUCGGUAAGGUGAUAUGAACCGUUAUAACCGGCGAUGUCCGAAUGGGGAAACCCAGUGUGAUCGUCACACUAUCGUUAACUGAAUACAUAGGUUAACGAGGCGAACCGGGGGAACUGAAACAUCUAAGUACCCCGAGGAAAAGAAAUCAACCGAGAUUCCCCCAGUAGCGGCGAGCGAACGGGGAGCAGCCCAGAGUCUGAAUCAGCUUGUGUGUUAGUGGAACGGUCUGGAAAGUCCGACGGUACAGGGUGAUAGUCCCGUACACCAAAAUGCACAGGUUGUGAACUCGAAGAGUAGGGCGGGACACGUGGUAUCCUGUCUGAAUAUGGGGGGACCAUCCUCCAAGGCUAAAUACUCCUGACUGACCGAUAGUGAACCAGUACCGUGAGGGAAAGGCGAAAAGAACCCCGGCGAGGGGAGUGAAAAAGAACCUGAAACCGUGUACGUACAAGCAGUGGGAGCACCUUCGGGUGUGACUGCGUACCUUUUGUAUAAUGGGUCAGCGACUUAUAUUCUGUAGCAAGGUUAACCGUAUAGGGGAGCCGCAGGGAAACCGAGUCUUAACUGGGCGUUAAGUUGCAGGGUAUAGACCCGAAACCCGGUGAUCUAGCCAUGGGCAGGUUGAAGGUUGGGUAACACUAACUGGAGGACCGAACCGACUAAUGUUGAAAAAUUAGCGGAUGACUUGUGGCUGGGGGUGAAAGGCCAAUCAAACCGGGAGAUAGCUGGUUCUCCCCGAAAGCUAUUUAGGUAGCGCCUCGUGAAUUCAUCUUCGGGGGUAGAGCACUGUUUCGGCUAGGGGGUCAUCCCGACUUACCAACCCGAUGCAAACUACGAAUACCGAAGAAUGUUAUCACGGGAGACACACGGCGGGUGCUAACGUCCGUCGUGAAGAGGGAAACAACCCAGACCGCCAGCUAAGGUCCCAAAGUCAUGGUUAAGUGGGAAACGAUGUGGGAAGGCACAGACAGCCAGGAUGUUGGCUUAGAAGCAGCCAUCAUUUAAAGAAAGCGUAAUAGCUCACUGGUCGAGUCGGCCUGCGCGGAAGAUGUAACGGGGCUAAACCAUGCACCGAAGCUGCGGCAGCGACACUAUGUGUUGUUGGGUAGGGGAGCGUUCUGUAAGCCUGCGAAGGUGUGCUGUGAGGCAUGCUGGAGGUAUCAGAAGUGCGAAUGCUGACAUAAGUAACGAUAAAGCGGGUGAAAAGCCCGCUCGCCGGAAGACCAAGGGUUCCUGUCCAACGUUAAUCGGGGCAGGGUGAGUCGACCCCUAAGGCGAGGCCGAAAGGCGUAGUCGAUGGGAAACAGGUUAAUAUUCCUGUACUUGGUGUUACUGCGAAGGGGGGACGGAGAAGGCUAUGUUAGCCGGGCGACGGUUGUCCCGGUUUAAGCAUGUAGGCUGGUUGUCCAGGCAAAUCCGGAUAAUCAAGGCUGAGGUGUGAUGACGAGGUACUACGGUGCUGAAGUAACAAAUGCCCUGCUUCCAGGAAAAGCCUCUAAGCAUCAGGUAACAUCAAAUCGUACCCCAAACCGACACAGGUGGUCAGGUAGAGAAUACCAAGGCGCUUGAGAGAACUCGGGUGAAGGAACUAGGCAAAAUGGUGCCGUAACUUCGGGAGAAGGCACGCUGGUGUGUAGGUGAAGUCCCUGCGGAUGGAGCUGAGACCAGUCGAAGAUACCAGCUGGCUGCAACUGUUUAUUAAAAACACAGCACUGUGCAAACACGAAAGUGGACGUAUACGGUGUGACGCCUGCCCGGUGCCGGAAGGUUAAUUGAUGGGGUUAUCCGUAAGGAGAAGCUCUUGAUCGAAGCCCCGGUAAACGGCGGCCGUAACUAUAACGGUCCUAAGGUAGCGAAAUUCCUUGUCGGGUAAGUUCCGACCUGCACGAAUGGCGUAAUGAUGGCCAGGCUGUCUCCACCCGAGACUCAGUGAAAUUGAACUCGCUGUGAAGAUGCAGUGUACCCGCGGCAAGACGGAAAGACCCCGUGAACCUUUACUAUAGCUUGACACUGAACAUUGAGCCUUGAUGUGUAGGAUAGGUGGGAGGCUUUGAAGCGUGGACGCCAGUCUGCGUGGAGCCAACCUUGAAAUACCACCCUUUAAUGUUUGAUGUUCUAACGUUGGCCCCUUACCGGGGUUGCGGACAGUGUCUGGUGGGUAGUUUGACUGGGGCGGUCUCCUCCCAAAGCGUAACGGAGGAGCACGAAGGUUAGCUAAUCCUGGUCGGACAUCAGGAGGUUAGUGCAAUGGCAUAAGCUAGCUUGACUGCGAGCGUGACGGCGCGAGCAGGUGCGAAAGCAGGUCAUAGUGAUCCGGUGGUUCUGAAUGGAAGGGCCAUCGCUCAACGGAUAAAAGGUACUCCGGGGAUAACAGGCUGAUACCGCCCAAGAGUUCAUAUCGACGGCGGUGUUUGGCACCUCGAUGUCGGCUCAUCACAUCCUGGGGCUGAAGUAGGUCCCAAGGGUAUGGCUGUUCGCCAUUUAAAGUGGUACGCGAGCUGGGUUUAGAACGUCGUGAGACAGUUCGGUCCCUAUCUGCCGUGGGCGCUGGAGAAUUGAGGGGGGCUGCUCCUAGUACGAGAGGACCGGAGUGGACGCAUCACUGGUGUUCGGGUUGUCAUGCCAAUGGCACUGCCCGGUAGCUAAAUGCGGAAGAGAUAAGUGCUGAAAGCAUCUAAGCACGAAACUUGCCCCGAGAUGAGUUCUCCCUGAGACUUUAAGUCUCCUGAAGGAACGUUGAAGACGACGACGUUGAUAGGCCGGGUGUGUAAGCGCAGCGAUGCGUUGAGCUAACCGGUACUAAUGAACCGUGAGGCUUAACCUUACAACGCCGAAG